UUCCUCAUCUGCUCCUGCUCCUUCCUCAGGAAAGAGAAGCCGAGAAGACCUCUGCCCCGAAGAGGUAAGUGCAAAGAGGUGCAAGGUAAGUGACACGUUCGAUGCCCCUUCAACAUCCUCAGGUAGUUUUGGAGUCAGACGUUUCUGGGAGAGGCCUUUUGACUUUUCUCUUGAUGACAGUGACUCUGAUUAGUUUAUGUUAGAACAUGUUUUUAAACUUUGUAACGCUUGUAUUAUUGUAUUGUAUUGUUUUUUUUGUUGAUAUGUGAUAUUAAUAUUACAUUGUAACUGAAAGGUAGUUUUGUAGUUGUUAUUAUUGUUAUUAGAUGGAGCUAACACCCCACCCAGAAGACAGCCUUACCCCGACCAACCCGAUGAGAAGGAUGGAUGACCAAGUGAAAAACUGGAGAGUGGUGCUGUGUUCCAACUAUGGAAGCUGAGCGUGGACAGAGCUGCACAGAGGACCAAAGAUCCACUCUCAGCACUUCAUACCUGACUGGCCACAGCACCACCCCUCCUCACCUGGGUGAGGAGGGCCCUGACCCCACCUCCACAGAGGGAGUUGUGAACAUGCACUUCUGUGUCGGUGGGUUUAGGAGCCUCCUCACACACACACGGAUGAAGACUGUCACUGGAAGAUGUCUCCAUUGCAUCAGCAGGACCUAACCAUUUGUAAAAUAUUGCAGUUUGUGAUGUUUUAUACAUGUUUUUAUUGCUUCAUUUCAAACUAGGAGAUAUAAAAUAAACCAAUUUUCAUAAUAUUUUCUGUAUAUUUAGUUGUUUUCUUAAUGUUAUUUGGAACAUCAUUGCAACCUGUCAGCUUUUUAUUGAGGAUUUAGAAAGUUGCCGGUGGCCCGAGUGUGUACAGUGGGGUGUUGUUUUUGUCACAUGGUGAAAGUGACCUGAUGGGGAGCAAAAAGAACAACUGAACAAUUUGGGGAUUCACAGACUUUGGUAAUCGUUAAAAAAAAUGAAGAAAAAUUGUUCUGUGUGAACUAAAAGCUCAAGUAUAAACCAUCCUGACACACUGACACAAAUGAUCUGCUAUCUGUAAGCAGGACAGUGUUUUCAUGAGCCUGGGUGAAGCUAAUUUGCAUGAGUUUAACCUCCUGGUCAAAAACUUGCAUGACUCUGUUAGCACUGUAACUUUCUCCUGUUUAUUUAUUAAUUUGCUAAUUGUAGUAGAUUAAUACGUUUUGAAAGGUAGUUUUUCCUCCCCACUGUCGCCAAGUGCUUGCUCAUAGGGGAUUGUUGGGUUUUUUCUUUAGUUCAGUUCAAUUCAAUUCAUUUGUAUGUAAAUACUGUUGGAUUGAAUUGAACUGAACUAAAGAAGAUUUUUAGGAGACGGAGUAGUCACUGAGUGAACCAGGGUAUUAUAACAUCUUACCCAUAAAAAACUACAACCAAUCAAAUAAACAAUUGGAUUUAACAAAACA
Long non-coding RNA from Oreochromis niloticus (Nile tilapia), 1436 nucleotides. RefSeq lists it as uncharacterized. The record is from RefSeq and is a predicted model, not a curated record. The transcript has 2 exons. Lineage: Eukaryota; Metazoa; Chordata; Actinopteri; Cichliformes; Cichlidae.